Long non-coding RNA from Venturia canescens, 896 nucleotides. RefSeq lists it as uncharacterized. The record is from RefSeq and is a predicted model, not a curated record. Lineage: Eukaryota; Metazoa; Arthropoda; Insecta; Hymenoptera; Ichneumonidae. The transcript is spliced from 3 exons.
GCGAGUUGUCGACCGUUACUUUUUCGUUCGAGUCUCCGCGGGAGUGAAUCGAUACCCAAAAUUCAACUGACGUCACGCUCGAGUGUCUUUCGAAGCAGCGGGACGUAUGCGGUGAUUGUUUUCCGUUGGAUACAUGCAGCAGCAAGCGAGGGUUUUAGCCUUUUAGCUCGAGGGAUUAGAGAGUUCCGGUCUGCGGAUGGCAGUCACGUAGCAUCGAAACGACGCGUUUUCUUUGGAUCUUCCGUCGCCCCCGAGGCCGUGGCGGAUUUCAUUGCGAAGGGUGUGAGUUCGUGACGCCUCGUUGAGCGAUCCCAUAAUAUAUCGCGUCUCAAAAGCGUUCCGCGCGAUCGCAUCGGCUCCCCCAACACAAAUUCCUCCCCGGACCGAUGACGGAUGUCGUGGAAAUAAGAAAAAGCGGAAUUCCUCGUGGAAUAUUGGUCCGGCCGAGGUCCGAUGGGGGCCCGUCACCCGCGAUCAAUUGCUGCUCCGCUUUAUUAUUCCCCGGGUUAUCGAAAGGGGAGAAAGAGAGCUCGAUCCAUUACGGUGAUUUGGAUAUCCGAGGAAGAGAGUGAGAGAGCGUUGGGAGGUCGGAGCAGCCGCUUGGGCCCGGGGGGCUCGGAAAUUUCAUUUUCUCUCGAAAUUGUUGGCGCGUUUGGGAAAAACGUUAACGCGCAAAUGGAUCUGGAAGACGACGACUCCGGACAAUAAAUAGACGUCGCUCCCCCCGGCCCCUCCUUCGAACGCUGUUAUUCGUAGCGCCGAAAGGGAUGACGACGAUCCGCGCUGCUAUCCAUAUAUGUAUUAGCUCCCGCGCGCGGGACGGAGAAAUCGCGACGGCAGGGAAAUGACCAUUAGACCGGAAAACGAGGUUGAAGAGGGACGGAGACGGGGACAGG